UGGAAUGUUCCUACUGGGCUUCUCUCACAUUUGCAGAAUACAGAGUCCCCAUCUUUCUUUGGACUUACUUCAAAAUACCACCACAUUUGGCCAGAUGCAGGCAUUGAAAUGUUUAGAUGCCGUACUGAGGGACGUGGUUUAGUGGGAAAUACUGGUGAUAGGUGGACGGUUGGAACGGGUGAUCUUGGAGGUCUUUUCCAACCUUGGUGAUUCUAUCACUCUAUGAUUUUAAUAUUUUGGGGUCUUUUUUUUUAGAUUCUCUUUCCUAACCUGAUCUCAUUUCUGUUUCAAAUACUGCUGCUCAUCUUUGGAAAUCCAGAUUCUGUUACGCUUUUGAAUGCUUGUCUUUCUGCAGACAGACAAAAUGGCUUUGGCUUUUCCAAGCAACGUCUGCUUUCUCUAAGAAAUGUCACUGUCUAUUUUUAAAGGCCUCCCUGUUUCCUUCACUGAUUUGUUAUGUAUUUACAACACAAACUCUUUGCUUAUAUAUUGUAGCUUUAUGUUUCCUACCAUCUGGCCUAGUAGUCAUUCUCCACUCAUGCCACAUUUCUACUCCUCUUCUGUACCUGAGUGAUAUGUUUGGAUUGAAAAACUGCCAUAAAAUCUGUCCGUUGUGGAAAAACAAACAGAAGCAGUGAAAGAGGAAAAGCCUGAGAAGGCUUUCUUGUUUUUUUCUUUUCUCUUUUUUCUUUUUUAAAGUAAAUCAUCGCAUGCACUUUAUUACAAGUUGAACUUGAUUUCUUUCUGAUAACGACAGAAGAGCAUUAGAUAUUCAAUCAUGCACCUCUCAAUAUAAAUAUGUUUUUAACAGAGGCCUCGUUAUGUCAUCCUGCUGCCAGCUCCUGCACUAAAACACCCUGCCAUCCUUGAGGACUUUUCAUUUGCCACCCAACUGCCACCCUGUGCCUCUACAGGACAGUGUUCUUAGGAAAAAAAAAAAAGAGUCAUUAACUCUUUACAGUACGUAACCACUGAGAAUAUGAGCAUGCAGACACGGGAGAGAGAAUGAAACCCCAUAGUGACUUAGGGAAAUUCUAAGGUACGUAGCGAUAGCUAUUGUUGAAAGAGAUUUUGCUUCAUACCAUUAUGCAAAAUAGUACUGGAAUUGUCAUUUUAAGACCAUGGGAAUUAAGGAGAUUCUAAUUAAAGCGAUGUUUUGAUCUCCCAGUUUCUUGUGAUCAAACCAAUGGAAGGACUCCCAUAGCAAUAAGCAGGUUCAUUUUAAUAUCUGCAGUAUGAAACCAGGAAGCCUAAGACCAAACUCAGUAUGUUAGACUAUCCUCUAGAGCUUUUAUCAAGCUGUAAUACUUAACUUGUACUAUAAAAACACCCCAAACACUGUGUGGCACAACAACACAGGGUGUCAAAAAUUUACAUGACCUUGCUGCAGACUGAGUCAUGCCAGCACUCAGACAGAAGGUUCAAUUUAUUGCUCAGCUGUUGCUUGCUGCUCACCUGUUAACACUUUGCUGUAGCAAAACCUACAGCUGCAGUGUAUCACCAUUAGCCCCUAGACGGAGACUCUCCCACUUCUCAUUGGAUGUGGCUGAUUGCCUCAUUAGAAGGGCUGUGCCUGCAGACAGUAUAAAAAGGCAGGUCAAGGCUGGGUAGGUGCUGUGUGGGGUCCUGGGGGUGUGGAUGUCCUGUUGAUAAUGGUUGUGCCUCUGUGUAAUUGCUGUCUUUCCCUUUAUGAGCAUCAGGUAUGUUAUGAUAGAUGUGGUGUACGUGUGGGUCACUGUCAAACUUAGCAGGACUAUUUUGUCUCCUUUAGAUAUUAUUUCUAGCCAUUCUGACUGGGGCCAGGCUCUUUGCAGUGGAGAGCAGUGACAAGGUAAGUGGUGACAGGCAAAAGCUCAAAGGUAGGAAGCUGUAUAUGAACUUCUGCAAGGACUUGUUUCCUAGGAGGACAAUAGACCACUGGAACAGGCUGCUCAAAAAGGUCAUGGAGUUUUUUUCUCAAGAGCUAUUCAAAACAAGCCUGGAUGUUUUUCCUGGGUGAUCUGCCGCAGGGAUCCUGCUUUAGAAGAGCUAGAGAAACCCCUGAAGUUCUUUCCUUCCUGGGAGAUACCUGAAGAAGAGCAUGGCCAUCGUCUAUCAGUAUUCCUGGUCGACUGGAGACUUGCCAACGUGAUUCCUAUCCACAAGAAGAGUGGUAAGGAGGAUCUGGGGAACUACAGGCCUGUCAGUCUGACCUCGGUGCCAGGGAAGGUUAUGGAGUAGAUUGUCUUGAGAAAGCUCACACGGCAUGUGUGACACAACCAGGGGAUCAGGCCUAGCUAGCAUGGGUUUGUGAAGGGCGGGUCUUGCUUGACCAACCUAAUCUCCUUCUACAAUCUAAUGACCCAUCUGGUGGAUGAGGGGAAGGCUGUUGAUGUGAUCUACCUUGACUUCAGCGAAGCUUUCAACGCUGUCUCCCAUGGUACUCUCCUGGAGAAGUUGGCAGCCCGUGGCUUGGACACUUAAACUCUUUGCUGGGUAAGGAGCUGGCUGGAGGGCUGGGCCCAGAGAGUGGCGAAUGGAGUUAAAUCCAGCUGGUGACCAGUCAUGGGUGGUGUUCUAAUGAUUAACUAUUUUAUUAUCUAUGGCUCCAGUUACUGCGAAGAAGACAUGUGAUUGCUAAUUGUGAUUUCUCAGAAUUGUUUAUCCUCAUAGCAGAACACAGCCCACAAAGCCAGUUGUUGUAAGUGCUAACAGAUUAAUUCUGUAUUUCAGGUUUCUUUUUGCAGGUAGGAGCCAUAACAAAAACCUUACCUGACAUCUGGGCAAAUGCAGAUAAGGAAGAAUGAGGUAUGGUUUGAGGGAUGCACUGAUCUUGAGCUUGGAAGAAGUGACACUUAAACUCUGACCAGUUCUCUUGGACCAGUUACCUUUCCAACACUCUAGCCCAAGGGAUAUCUUCAGGUUGUUAAUGGCUCAGAAGUGAAGGACAUAUCCAACAGUGACAAUCGCUCAAAUGGGUGUUCCAUGGGGAUGACAAUGCAGUGGUCCAAUUCCAGUACUCCAAAGGGUUUUUCAGAGCAGGUCAGUUCUUGGAAUUAUGUAGGAAUCAAAUCAUAACGUUGUUCAAAUCUGUCUGCUCAUGAGAUUGAUACCUUUGCUCAAUUGCUUUCAGGGUGAAGUCUACUGCAUCAGUCUCAUCAGUCACGUAACGGAUCUGCAGGGACUGGAGAGGGGACAGGAUUAGUAUGAUGGCCAUGUGGACGGUUCAGAUGAGUACAACUUCUUGGACAUUGGUGUUCGCUUUAAGUCUUGCUCUCAUGUUCAUAGAAUAAAGUAUUAAGCAGCAGGUGACUAGUGCUACUAUCAGAGCAUAGUUCUGAAACUUCAGGAGUUGGUCUGUAAAAGGGGAUCAACUGUCUUAAUACUAACAUCUCAUGUGGCCCAUCACUCCCUGUGACUUCACCUUGACUAGGAUGUGUAGCUGGUAUACUAAUGCCUUAAAGAAGAAUUAAGUAGUUUCUUGACAAUCCAAAGAGGAAAAAAUACCCAGCCUUGCUUUCCACUUAAGAUGUUGAUUGAGUAAUUUGAAAACAGCUUUCCAGAUUGCUUGCGUGUAUUGGUGAUGGUGCUUGGUCACAAAAAAUAGAUGAAAAGCAAAUGCUAAAAUAGAAUAUGUAAAAAGGCAAUCAAAUGGAACUGAAACGUAAUGGAACUCUCUUGUUCUAGACUAGAAGACGUCUUAGAAGCCCUCAAUGAAGGCUUGGACAUGAGUGAUGGCGUCAAUUUGUGGCAGUCUGUACAACUGAAGAAUGAUUUGGACAGAUGAAAGAGCAGAAAAGGAACCACCAUGGUUAAAAGAAAUAUGAGGAAAAUCCUGAACUUGAUAAGAGCGGCAGCCACGGGGAGUGAACGAGAGCGAUGCACAGAUGAAGCACAAACAAGCUAAGACCUGAACAAUAGCAUGAUACUUAAGUAGUGAAUGUAAAUAAGCAACUAAUGCUAUAAUGGUAAUGUCUCAGUGCUGGGGGGGGGUAGAAGGUGAACUGUCUUGCCAACAGCAUGAUGCUGUCUUGCCCAGGGACAGGACAGCAGAGGAGCAGUCUGAUAAAGAGGAGCCUAACAUAAAAGGGUGUACAAAUGAGAGGUAGAAGUGAAUUGCUCUGGGAGAAAAAAUAGUGAACAUGGGAAUGAACAGAUAAUUGAUAAAUAUGGGAGGAGAGAAAAAGCUGGAGAAAAGGGAAGCGGGGAGUGGAGCGGUGUCUGCCAGUAGUGGUAACAGGAUGCUUUCUUCACCAGGUAUGAUGUGCAGCAAGAAGUUGAAAAUAAACAGUUCCUGAGAAGGUAUAGCUCAUGAUGAUGAAGACAAAGAAGAAAGGGCGGAAGAAAAAAUGGAUUAAACAGAGUUGUAGUAAAAUGGUAUAUACUGAAUGAAAUGGGGAAAUAAAGAAAAGGGUUGCCAUGGGGUGAUUACCAGGUGGAAGAAUACAAAACCGGAUGAAGAACAGAAGAUGAAUGUCAAAGGCUCCUCAGCCAUCAUCCCCUGGCUUUCUGGGAAGCAGCACAGCCACAUCCUGGCACUGACCUUAAUUCAGCAGCAAUCCAAGGUUCCAGAUGGAAAACUGCAGCUCCGGAAGGUUUGUGGCUCACUCCUGACAGUAGAUAGGAGGUAUCUCUUGAGAUAGAGAGGAGCAAAAACACCCUGCUGGAUCUGGCCACGCUUGCUU
Molecule: long non-coding RNA, 4664 nt
Organism: Numida meleagris (helmeted guineafowl)
Lineage: Eukaryota; Metazoa; Chordata; Aves; Galliformes; Numididae
Exons: 6
Source: RefSeq, a predicted model, not a curated record